AACAUCGACACUUCGAACGCACAUUGCGGUCCACGGAUUCGAUUCCCGGACCACGCCUGGCUGAGGGUC
This 69-nucleotide ribosomal RNA is filed under the name Pediobius sp. 1 EW-2013. RNAcentral describes it as "partial 5.8S ribosomal RNA". RNAcentral also lists the same sequence under 1 other name. The record is from RNAcentral. Lineage: Eukaryota; Metazoa; Arthropoda; Insecta; Hymenoptera; Eulophidae.